This 79-nucleotide transfer RNA is filed under the name Chloroflexota bacterium. RNAcentral's name for it is "Chloroflexi bacterium tRNA-Ile". It matches the Rfam family "tRNA". From Rfam's summary of the family: Transfer RNA (tRNA) molecules are approximately 80 nucleotides in length. Their secondary structure includes four short double-helical elements and three loops (D, anti-codon, and T loops). Lineage: Bacteria; Bacillati; Chloroflexota. The record is from RNAcentral.
GGGGCUAUAGCUCAGCCUUGGUUAGAGCGCACGCCUGAUAAGCGUGAGGUCAGUGGUUCAAGUCCACUUAGCCCCACCA